This is an RNA transcript of Musa acuminata AAA Group (dessert banana), 3867 nucleotides long. It is a transcript of the gene named E3 SUMO-protein ligase SIZ1-like, with no coding region annotated. The record is from RefSeq and is a predicted model, not a curated record. NCBI's taxonomy places the organism in Eukaryota, Viridiplantae, Streptophyta, Magnoliopsida, Zingiberales, Musaceae. The transcript is spliced from 17 exons.
CGAGUUGGUAGAAUGCGACCGAACACAGCGUGGAAUGGUGCGAUCGCACCUCUCGGCCGUCGAGUUCCCGUGUUCGCGAAUCUUGAAGCAGAACGCUUCCCCGAGUUCCUCCUCCAACUUGACGACGACGACGAGAAAAAGCGGUUGCUCUAGUGAUUCUUUCCCACCGGUUUCGUACGAUUUCUCCUGUUCGAUCGAUCGAUCAUCACUUCCGCCGUUCAUGGUCAAUCCUUUUUGGGUUCCUUCAAAACCCUAGUUGGGAUCGGCCGCCAGCGAUGUUUGUGUGGCGAGAUAAAGCUUGGAUUGGGAUCGGAGAAUCUAUUUUGAUUCCUGUCGAUUGAGAGAAUUUUGAUUUGUUUUUGAAUCGGUCUCGAAGAUUAUCCGAUCAAGUGGCACCUACUUUCUUGCUGGUUUUUCCAGGGGUUGGAUUGCUGCCUUUGGUGGCGGAAUUGGGUCGAUGGAUUUGGUUGCCAGUUGCAGGGAUAAGUUGGCAUGCUUUAGAAUAAAAGAGCUGAAGGAUGUUCUGACUCAACUAGGUCUCGUAAAGCAAGGAAAGAAGCAGGACCUUGUGGACAGGAUUUUGCAACUGCUUUCAGAUGAACAAGUUCCCAAGUCACAGGUUUGGGGAAAAAGAAAUUCCUUCUGGAAAGAUGAAGUGGCUAAAAUAAUCGAUGAUGCUUACAGGAGGAAGAUUCUAGUUCCUGGUGCCACAGACUUAGCAUCCAAGAGUGGUAUUGUCACAGAUUACAAUCAGGUGAAGCCUAAAGAGGAAAUUGAUGAUUAUCGUUUGGAAAUGAAGGUUCGCUGUCCCUGUGGGAACUCAUUUAGUACUGAUUCAAUUAUUCAGUGUGAGGAUCCUGGGUGUCAAGUGUGGCAGCACAUAAGUUGUAUAAUUAUACCCGAGGGAACUUUGGAGGGUCCUUCACCUGAACUUCCAACUCGUUUUUAUUGUGAAUUAUGCAGAAUCAGUAGGGCUGAUCCGUUCUGGUUGACAGUGGAGCACCCGUUGCUUCCUGUAAAGUUGACAUCUUCUGGAAUAAUUGGCGAUGGCACAAACACAUUACAAAAUGUGGAAAGGAUAUUUCAAUUGUCAAGAGCAGAUAGAGAAUUGUUCCAGAGAGCUGACUAUGAUCUCCAGGUUUGGUGUCUACUACUCAAAGAUAAGGUUCCAUUUAGGAUGCAGUGGCCGCAAUUUGCAGAGUUGAAAGUUAACGGAGUUGCAGUCCAAGUGGUUGCUAGACAAGGGUCACAGUUAUUGGGUAUAAAUGGUCGGGAUGAUGGUCCAGUGAUAACCACGUGUACCAAGGAAGGCAGUAACAAAAUUUGUUUAUCAUGGCGUGAUGCUCGAGUAUUCUGUUUUGGAAUCAGACUUGCAAAGAGGCAGUCAAUACAACAGGUUCUUAGUUUAGUGCCCAAGGAAGCAGAUGGUGAGUGCUUUGAAGACGCUCUUGCUCGUGUUUGUCGCUGCAUUGGUGGUGGAACUGCUACAGAAAAUGCUGAUAGCGAUAGUGAUUUAGAAGUGGUAGCUGAUUCUGUUACAAUCAAUCUCCGUUGUCCUAUGAGUGGUUCUCGGAUGAGGAUAGCUGGCAGGUUUAAAUCUUGUAUUCAUAUGGGGUGUUUCGACCUGGAAACAUUUGUGGAACUUAAUCAACAAUCUCGGAAGUGGCAAUGUCCUAUUUGUCUCAAAAACUAUUCCCUUGAAAACAUUAUCAUCGACCCAUAUUUCAAUCGCAUCACUUCAUUGUUGCAUAAUUGUGGAGAUGUAAAUGAAAUUGAUGUAAAACCUGAUGGUUCUUGGCGCAUUAAGAAUGAAGAAUUUAGUGAUCUAUCUAAGUGGCAUCUGCCUGAUGGUUCACUUUGUGCUGAUACAUGUGCAGAGGUGAAGCCUGACCUGGAGAAACUAAAGGAGAUUAAGCAGGAAAUUACUUCAGAGGUGCAUAGAAAUUUGAAAUUAAAGCGAAACAGACGGGGAUUUUGGGAAGUCGGUAAACCUGACGAUAUGAGGCUUCAAACCUCUCAGAAUCAUGUCCUCAGUAAGCUUAAAGAUCAUUGUCAGAUCAUUCCUAUGAACAGUAGUGCAACCUGUAGUUAUAGAGCUGUGGAAGACCCAAGUGUCAAUCAAGAGGCAGGGCAUUUUGGUUCAUCUUUAAACAGUAUCCAUGAGCUAAAUUCUCUGGUUUUCAAUUUUGAUCCAACAUAUAAUGUUGAUAAUAGAGUUCAACCUGCACCAUCGAAUACACCAGAUGUUAUUGUCCUCAGUGAUUCUGAUGAAGAUAAUCAUACACCACUUUCUCCUAAAACCGCCCAUGACACUUGUCUGGCUGGUGGUGGUGAAAUCCCUUUUCCUAGCCAUCUUGAAGUUUCAGAAAGAAUCAUUGUAGAUGCUGAUCUUGAGAUGUACAGUGGUUUUUGCGCUGGUUUGUUUGACAAUAAUACUGAUGACUUUGACAUUCCAAGCCCUAGCUUCCAACUAUUUGGGUCAAAUGCUGAAGUACAAGAUCCUUUUGUUGAUUCACAUACUUCUCUUGACCGUGCACUAACUGAUGCCUAUGGCUUAGCAUCCAAUGGUGGUUUUGGGGACACUUCAAGAAUUCAUGAUCUUUCUGCUGGUCAUACGAGUAUUGAAAUACAUGAAAGCAUGGUUGAUAAUCCCUUGGCAUUUGCUAGUGAUGACCCAUCUCUUCAAAUUUUUCUUCCUACUCGACCAGCUGGAAUUCCUCUGCAGGAUGAGUUGAAUGACCGCAAUGAAGUGCCAAAUGAGGUCACCUCUGAUGAUUGGAUAUCGCUUACCCUUGCUAUUGGUGGAGAUGAUGGUAAAUCUGCCCCUGUUAAGAGACCAAGGUCAGAGCAGAAAUUCACACCAAAGGAGAGGAUGGAACCAUUAGAUGAAUCUGCUUCUUUACUUUUGAGCAUAAAUUAUAACAGAGUUGAUAAAGUUCAUUCAAAGAAUCAAAGAUCUGAGAAUCCAUUUUCACAUCCCCGACAGCCACGGUCUGCUAGGCCUCGAUUGUAUCUGCCAAUAUAUACUGACUCUGAUUAGUCAUCUAAUGAAGAUUCAGAUCAUGGUUUUUUUUUCUGUAGAAAAGGACUAAUAGUUGGAUCUACACCUUUUUCUGUUGAUUGGAUAAUAUCAUUCUUAUUUAUACACAAAGCAAUUACAGGCAAUAUUUAUUUUGCCAUGAGUUAGAUAAGUUCCUAUUCCUGAUCACAGUAGCAAGUGGCUUCCAAUCAUGCCAAGUUUCCUGCCUACUGAUCCUUGCGGAACUUCCUGUUUUUUCUAUCUGAAUUGCAGAACCAAUGUGGUUGCAUGCUGCAAAUUGUACAAUACGAUUCUGUGUUGACGGGAGCCUUUCUGAGUUGUAAGUCAAAUUAGUGGUUUGACUUAUAUGCUGUUAUUGAUUCUAAAUUUAGUUGAUUUUUGUGGUCCUUAAUUUUUGGUGUCUAUGAAGAAAAUGCAGCAUAAGCCUUCAGAAAUUGGUGGACAGAAAAGCCAUGCAAUUAGUGCCAUGAUAUGGUUUCCGAUGAUUGGUGUGUUUGAUUCAUGUCAGGAUUCACCUUCAUCAAAGACUUGUGCAAGGUCAUGAGGAUCAUCCCCUUCCCUUACCUGUAGUGAUUAGAUGGAUGACUGCUUCACUCACAACUUGCAGUCCUUUCACAUGUAUAUAUGUUGCUUUUAUCAUAUUCCACAUGGACUUCUAUACAUGCUUAACAUUGUUGAAAUUAGGGCCUUGCUUGCUUUCACAUCUGGGUGUCACUGCCUUAAGGAUCUUUUUCGUGAAAGACAGCUGUUUAUAUACCUUCAGAGGCAGAGCCUUUGGUUUUGAAGGUACUUCUAAACCUGAUUAGAAAGAGAAAUUUAGUGCUGCA